UAAUUAUAAAAUAAAUUUAUUAUAUAUAAUUUUAUAAAAAACUAUUUUUAUAGAUGUUUAUUAAAAUUUAUUUUUUAUUAUUUAUUAUAUUAUUAAAAUAUAUAUUUAAGUUAUUAAAAAUUAAUAAUUAAUAUUUAAUUUUAAAAAUUAAAAAAAUUAAUUUUAGUAAUUAAGUAUUAAUUAUUAAUAAAAAUUGUGCCAGCAAUUGCGGUUAAACAAUUAAUAAAAAAAAUAAAUUUAUAAAUAAUUUAUUUAUAAAUUUAAAAUAAUAAAUUUAUAAAUAAUUAAGUAAAAUUUUUAUUUAAAUAAUUUAUUUAUAUUAAAUUUUAAAUUAUUUUAAUUAAUAAUUUAAAAAGACUAGGAUUAGAUACCCUAUUAUAUUUUAUAAAUUAAAAUUUUAUAAAAAAUUAAAAGUUUAUAAUCUUUAAAUUAAAUAAAGUUGGCUGUAUCUUAAUUUAAUUAGAGGAACUUGUUGUUUAAUUUGAUUAUCCACGAAUAUUUUUACUUUAUUUAAUUUAAUUUAUAUAUCGUUGUUAAAAAAAUUUAAUUAAAAUUUAAUAUUUUAAAAUUUUUAUAAAAAAAUAUUUCAAAUCAAGAUAUAGUUUAUAAUAAAGGAUUAAAUGAGUUAUAAAAAAUUAUUUAUAGAUUUAAAAUUUUAAUAAUUUAAUGAAAUUAGAUUUAAAAGUAAUUUUGGAAAUUUUUUUAAAAUGAUUUAAUUUUAAGAUAAGUACAUAUUGCCCGUCACUUUCAAUUUUUUGAAAUAAGUCGUAACAAAGUAAGAGUAUUGGAAAAUGUUCUUAGAAAAAC
Molecule: non-coding RNA, 807 nt
Filed under: Athripsodes aterrimus
Lineage: Eukaryota; Metazoa; Arthropoda; Insecta; Trichoptera; Leptoceridae
Source: RNAcentral